RNAcentral lists this long non-coding RNA (715 nucleotides) under Setaria viridis. RNAcentral's name for it is "long non-coding RNA (SVIR_LNC003636)". Lineage: Eukaryota; Viridiplantae; Streptophyta; Magnoliopsida; Poales; Poaceae. The record is from RNAcentral.
GAAGAUGAAGAGGAGGUCGAGGUGAACUCGAUUAUGUGCUCACCAUGGUUGGGGACUGGCGGCUCCGGACAAAAUUCGGCCCAGCGGUGGCGGAAGACAGCAACCGGCCCGGUGAUGCGGUGCGGGCGGAGCUCCGGAGGCGAGAUGGCGACGAGGAACGAACGGGCUCGGCUUGGAAAGGGGAAACCGCAGGUGCUGUCGGCUUGGCUGGGGGAAGGGGGGCUCCAGGCCGGUGAAUUGAGUCGGCACCGCUGCAGCGCGCUUGGCUCCGACAAGCGGCCGCGGAAGGCCACAGCGUAGCGCGGAGGUGGAGGGGAGCAAUAGGGGAUGCGGGGGCUCGGGGUGCGGCGAUAUAUAGGGCAUGGGGUGCAAGGUUGGCUUGGCGCGCAAGCCAAGGACAGCCGCCGGCGCCGGGGUGCUAUGCCACGGGAGCUGCUGGGUCGGUUGGGCCUGGGUUGGGCCUUGCGAGCUCGGUCCGAAAGGAAGAAGGGGUCUAGGCUGGUUAGGAAAGAAGGUUGGGUUGGGUCACAGAUGGGCUGGGCCCAAAAAAAAGAUAGGUUUUGAUUUUCAUUUCUCUUUAUUUUCAGAAGUAAUUUCCGGUGUAAACAAAAUCUAGAUAAUUCAUUUAAAUCCAAAAAUUCUAGGAAAAUUCCUAGAAAUAAUAUGGGACACGAGGAAUCCAAAUAAAGUACUUGGAGCUCAUUAAAAAGAUUUU